GGAGGGGUGCAAACGUUGUCCGGAAUUACUGGGCGUAAAGGGCGCGUAGGCGGACUUGGUAAGUCAGGAGUGAAAACUCAGGGGCUCAACCCUGAGCCUGCUUCUGAAACUGCAAGUCUUGAGGACCGGAGAGGAAAGUGGAAUUCCUAGUGUAGCGGUGGAAUGCGUAGAUAUUAGGAAGAACACCAGUGGCGAAGGCGACUUUCUGGACGGUACCUGACGCUGAGGCGCGAAAGCUAGGGGAGCAAACAGGAUUAGAUACCCUGGUAGUCCUAGCUGUAAACGAUGAGUGCUAGGUGGUGGUAGUUUCAACGCUUUCACUGCCGAAGCUAACGCAUUAAGCACUCCGCCUGGGGAGUACGGCCGCAAGGUUG
This 374-nucleotide ribosomal RNA is filed under the name uncultured organism. Its description in RNAcentral is "partial 16S ribosomal RNA". It matches the Rfam family "Bacterial small subunit ribosomal RNA", at positions 526 to 896 of the family's 1533-position model. The record is from RNAcentral.